GAUGAACGCUGGCGGCGUGCCUAAUACAUGCAAGUCGAGCGAACAGACGAGGAGCUUGCUCCUCUGACGUUAGCGGCGGACGGGUGAGUAACACGUGGAUAACCUACCUAUAAGACUGGGAUAACUUCGGGAAACCGGAGCUAAUACCGGAUAAUAUAUUGCAUCGCAUGGUUCAAUAGUGAAAGACGGUUUUGCUGUCACUUAUAGAUGGAUCCGCGCCGCAUUAGCUAGUUGGUAAGGUAACGGCUUACCAAGGCAACGAUGCGUAGCCGACCUGAGAGAGUGAUCGGCCACACUGGAACUGAGACACGGUCCAGACUCCUAGGGGAGGCAGCAGUAGGGAAUCUUCCGCAAUGGGCGAAAGCCUGACGGAGCAACGCCGCGUAAGUGAUGAAGGUCUUCGGAUCGUAAAACUCUGUUAUUAGGGAAGAACAAAUGUGUAAGUAACUAUGCACGUCUUGACGGUACCUAAUCAGAAAGCCACGGCUAACUACGUG
RNAcentral lists this ribosomal RNA (497 nucleotides) under uncultured bacterium. RNAcentral describes it as "partial 16S ribosomal RNA". It matches the Rfam family "Bacterial small subunit ribosomal RNA", at positions 28 to 507 of the family's 1533-position model. The record is from RNAcentral.